GUAAAAGUGUCAGAUGUAAUGAGCCGAUUUUAAGCGUCGGCUAUGGGAUUAAAUCCUCUUUUAUU
This 65-nucleotide transfer RNA is filed under the name Cichlidogyrus casuarinus. RNAcentral describes it as "tRNA-Leu". Lineage: Eukaryota; Metazoa; Platyhelminthes; Monogenea; Dactylogyridea; Ancyrocephalidae. The record is from RNAcentral.